UUAUCUUUGGUGUAUUUGCAUACUAAAUUUUGGUUUUAGUGGUCUCAUGAUAAU
Molecule: transfer RNA, 54 nt
Filed under: Hygrobates taniguchii
Lineage: Eukaryota; Metazoa; Arthropoda; Arachnida; Trombidiformes; Hygrobatidae
Description: tRNA-Gln
Source: RNAcentral